CUAAAACUACAGCCCAUAUAUCUCCUACUCCACCAUGAAUAAAUUAAAAUAUUUUUAUAAUUUAGUAAGGAUGACUAAAAAAUUUACUUGGAGCUUUCUAUACCGCAAGGGUCAUAUGAAAUAGUUAUGAAAUAGCCCUAAAGCAUAAAAAAGUAGAGACUUAACCUCGUACCUUGUGCAUCAUGAUUUAACUAGUCUAACUAAGCAAAAAGACUUUAAAGUUUAGCUCCCCGAAACUAGGUGAGCUACAUUAGGGCUGCUUAAUGAGCGAACCCGUCUCUGUUGCAAAAGAGUGGGAAGACCCUAAAAUAGAGGUGAUAUACCUAUCGAACCUAGUGAUAGCUGGUUGCUUGAGAAAAGAAUUUUAGUUCAGCCUAGAGCCACCUCAAUUAUCUUUAAUAACCCUCACAACUCUAGAGUAAUUCAAAUAAGGUACAGCCUAUUUGAAACAGGACACAACCUAAACUAAUGGGUAAAUCUCCGAUUCAAGCAGCCAGGUAGGCCUAAAAGCAGCCACCCUCUCCAAUAGCGUUAAACCUUAACUGCUCAAUCCAUUAAUACCUAACUCUUCAAUGAACCCUUUACUUGUACCAAGCAAUUCUAUGCCACAUAGAAAAUUUUAUGUUAAAACUAGUAACAAGAAGAAAACCUUCUCUAUAAUGCAAACUUAAAUCAAAAAGGACCCCCCAUUGAUAAUUAUAUGGCCCUAAACUUACAGUAGUAACACCACAAGAAAAACCUACUCAUAACACCAUUAACCUAACACAAGAGCAUUUCAAGAAAGAUUUAAAAAAAAAGAAGGAACUCGGCAAAUACAUAAUCCCGCCUGUUUACCAAAAACAUCGCCUCUUGAUAACAAUAAGAGGUCCAGCCUGCCCAGUGACAUCAGUUUAACGGCCGCGGUAUCCUAACCGUGCGAAGGUAGCGUAAUCACUUGUCUUUUAAAUAGAGACUCGUAUGAAAGGCAUCACGAGGAUUCAACUGUCUCCUUUUUUUAAUCAGUUAAACUAAUCUUCCCGUGAAGAAGCGGGAAUAAGUAUAUAAGACGAGAAGACCCUAUGGAGCUUUAAACACAUGGCAUUUGCUUCAUUAUUUCAAACUUAAACACUUAGCACUUUGACCAAAAGUUUUAGGUUGGGGCGACCGCGGAGUAAAACCUAACCUCCACGUUGUACAGAAUUUUCUUAAGCUAAAAGCUACGCCUUCAAGCAUCAACAAAUUGACAUUCAUUGACCCACUUUUUGAUCAACGAACCAAGUUACCCUAGGGAUAACAGCGCAAUCCAUUUCAAGAGCUCAUAUCGACAAAUGGGUUUACGACCUCGAUGUUGGAUCAGGGUAACCUAGUGGUGCAGCCGCUGCUAAGAGUUCGUUUGUUCAACGAUUAAACCCCUACGUGAUCUGAGUUCAGACCGGAGCAAUCCAGGUCAGUUUCUAUCUAUAAAAAGAUUUUCCCAGUACGAAAGGAUCAGAAAAUCAUGGCCUACAAGAUACUCGAGCCAUACUAAACAUUUUUGUUAUCAACUCAAAAAAGAUAACCCUUACCCCUCCCUUUCUAAAGAAUAUAGCA
This 1569-nucleotide ribosomal RNA is filed under the name Strabomantis sulcatus (Nauta robber frog). RNAcentral's name for it is "partial 16S ribosomal RNA". It matches the Rfam family "Bacterial large subunit ribosomal RNA", at positions 380 to 2925 of the family's 2925-position model. Lineage: Eukaryota; Metazoa; Chordata; Amphibia; Anura; Strabomantidae. The record is from RNAcentral.